Molecule: small RNA, 116 nt
Filed under: Salmonella enterica subsp. enterica
Lineage: Bacteria; Pseudomonadati; Pseudomonadota; Gammaproteobacteria; Enterobacterales; Enterobacteriaceae
Also listed under: 2 other names
Description: partial RtT sRNA
Rfam family: RtT RNA
About the family: This family represents a bacterial cis-regulatory element known as RtT RNA. The exact function of RtT is unknown although it is thought that it may be involved in changing the cellular response in relation to amino acid starvation.
Source: RNAcentral
UAUCUCUCCGUACGGGGAAGGAUGAGAAGCUUCGACUAAGGUUCGAUUCGAGCGCAGCGAGAAAGCGUUGCCGCAGGCAACGACCCGAAGGGCGAAGCGCGCAGCGCUGAGUCAUC